GGGCUUGACAUCCCACGAACCUGCCUGAAAGGGUAGGGUGCCCGCAAGGGAACGUGGAGACAGGUGGUGCAUGGCUGUCGUCAGCUCGUGUCGUGAGAUGUUGGGUUAAGUCCCGCAACGAGCGCAACCCUCACCCCUAGUUGCCACCGGGUAAAGCCGAGCACUCUAGGGGAACUGCUAGCGUCAAGCUGGAGGAAGGCGGGGAUGACGUCAAGUCAUCAUGCCCCUUACGCCCUGGGCUACACACGUGCUACAAUGGCCGGUACAAAGGGAUGCAAGACCGCGAGGUGGAGCUAACCCCAAAAAACCGGUCUAAGUUCAGAUUGGAGUCUGCAACUCGACUCCAUGAAGGAGGAAUCGCUAGUAAUCGCGCAUCAGCACGGCGCGGUGAAUACGUUCCCGGGCCUUGUACACACCGCCCGUCACACCACGAAAGCUUACUGUACUCGAAGUCGCUGAG
RNAcentral lists this ribosomal RNA (460 nucleotides) under uncultured Methylomirabilota bacterium. RNAcentral's name for it is "bacterial SSU rRNA". It matches the Rfam family "Bacterial small subunit ribosomal RNA", at positions 977 to 1434 of the family's 1533-position model. Lineage: Bacteria; Methylomirabilota (SeqCode). The record is from RNAcentral.